GGCCUACCAUGGUGGUAACGGGUAACGGGGUGUUAGGGCACGACACCGGAGAGGGAGCCUGAGAAACGGCUACCACAUCCAAGGAUGGCAGCAGGCGCGCAAAUUACCCAAUCCCGACACGGGGAGGUAGUGACAAUAAAUAACAAUACGGGGUUCUUUCGGAUCUCGUAAUUGGAAUGAGUACAAUUUAAAUCUCUUAACGAGGAACAAUUGGAGGGCAAGUCUGGUGCCAGCAGCCGCGGUAAUUCCAGCUCCAAUAGCGUAUAUUAAAGUUGUUGCAGUUAAAAAGCUCGUAGUUGAAUUUCGGGGUCAGCAGGUCGGUCGUGCCACUGGUAUGAACUGGCCUCGCUGAUCCCUCCCUCUUGACGAACUGUGAUGCCAUUAAUUUGGUGUCGCAGGGAAUCAGGACUGUUACUUUGAAAAAAUUAGAGUGUUUAAAGCAGGCUCACGCUUGAAUACAUUAGCAUGGAAUAAUGAAAUAGGACGUUUGAUCCUAUUUUGUUGGGUUUCUAGGAUUGACGUAAUGAUUAAUAGGGAUAGUUGGGGGCAUUAGUAUUCAAUUGUCAGAGGUGAAAUUCUUGGAUUUAUUGAAGACUAACUACUGCGAAAGCAUUUGCCAAGGAUGUUUUCAUUAAUCAAGAACGAAAGUUAGGGGAUCGAAGACGAUCAGAUACCGUCGUAGUCUUAACCAUAAACUAUGCCGACUAGGGAUCGGAUGAUGUUAAUUUUUUAAUGACUCAUUCGGCGCCUUACG
This 754-nucleotide ribosomal RNA is filed under the name uncultured Glomus. Its description in RNAcentral is "SSU rRNA". It matches the Rfam family "Eukaryotic small subunit ribosomal RNA", at positions 338 to 1092 of the family's 1831-position model. The record is from RNAcentral. Lineage: Eukaryota; Fungi; Glomeromycota; Glomeromycetes; Glomerales; Glomeraceae.